This 71-nucleotide transfer RNA is filed under the name Urocitellus parryii (Arctic ground squirrel). Its description in RNAcentral is "Spermophilus parryii (Arctic ground squirrel) tRNA". It matches the Rfam family "tRNA". Rfam says of the family: Transfer RNA (tRNA) molecules are approximately 80 nucleotides in length. Their secondary structure includes four short double-helical elements and three loops (D, anti-codon, and T loops). RNAcentral also lists the same sequence under 1 other name. The record is from Rfam by way of RNAcentral. Lineage: Eukaryota; Metazoa; Chordata; Mammalia; Rodentia; Sciuridae.
GGGGGUGUAGCUCAGCAAUAGAGCAUUUGCCUAGCAAGCUUAGAAUUGGGGUUCAAUUCCCAGUACCACCA